This 253-nucleotide ribosomal RNA is filed under the name uncultured bacterium. Its description in RNAcentral is "partial 16S ribosomal RNA". It matches the Rfam family "Bacterial small subunit ribosomal RNA", at positions 524 to 776 of the family's 1533-position model. The record is from RNAcentral.
UACAGAGGGUGCAAGCGUUAAUCGGAGUUACUGGGCGUAAAGGGCGCGUAGGCGGUUAUUUAAGUUUGAUGUGAAAUCCCUGGGCUUAACCUAGGAACUGCAUUGAAUACUGGGUAACUGGAGUACUGUAGAGGGUAGUGGAAUUUCCGGUGUAGCGGUGAAAUGCGUAGAGAUCGGAAGGAACACCAGUGGCGAAGGCGGCUACCUGGACAGAUACUGACGCUGAGGCGCGAGAGCGUAGGGAGCAAACAGG